Molecule: long non-coding RNA, 412 nt
Filed under: Androctonus crassicauda
Lineage: Eukaryota; Metazoa; Arthropoda; Arachnida; Scorpiones; Buthidae
Source: RNAcentral
GCAUAGAAAGAUAUAACAUUAUAAAAAUUGUGAAUAACAUAUAUAAAAGAUCCAGACUUAACUAUAUCAAUCAACAUAUAUAAAUGAUUUUGUAAUAAUAGCAGCAGUAAAAUGCAUGGAAUGAUGUUAUGCUUCCAUCUUGGAAAAUUUGUGUUUAAUUCCAGAUUCCAUUCCUCCAAAUUUUUUAGGAGAAAUCCUGCUCUGCUCAUUGAAUCUUAUCCUUUACCUGAACUGUUGAUUCUUACCACAGUAUGGACAGACUGUGUGAGCACAGGAAUACCCUGUUACUUAGAUUUAAUAAAAUGGAAAACAACAUAAAAUACAAAUAAAGAAAUGGUGCCCUUGCUAAUCUAUGGUGGUUAUUCAGCUAGUUUUUAUGCUUCAAUUUAAGAAUUUUUCUUGAAAUUUCUGC